Molecule: long non-coding RNA, 8778 nt
Filed under: Salmo salar (Atlantic salmon)
Lineage: Eukaryota; Metazoa; Chordata; Actinopteri; Salmoniformes; Salmonidae
Description: lncRNA (ENSSSAG00000099575.1)
Source: RNAcentral
AUUAGCUCCGCGCUGCAGACAUCAUUAGGAGUGGAGGGAGACGAUUCCACCGUCAGCGCAGGAACAGGAAGCCCUGGCAACAAGGAGAGACCGCUCUUACCAGACCAUUACACCGUACAGUAAGUCCUAGCUCUGUCUAUACUCUUAGUCUGUGUCAUUUUUUUUGUGUCACUUUUUUCUUUGCUAAGCGGUAGAGGUAGAGAAAAUGGCUGGAACUGGAAGGAAGGCGUACGCGCAAAGAGAGCGUUCGUUUAUUUCCAAAGCCUUUGAAAAUGUUUACUUCGCACUCUGACCUAUUUUAUUUGUGCCCGGAGCAUAGACGGUUGUUUGUGGUUUACAGUCAUGCACUUGUCAUUUCGAACAAAAAUGCAAACGAACUAUUAAGUUUGACACAAGAGCGCGGUGGUUUCGCGGACUUGAAAACGAGCAAGGAGUGUUUCACAGGCGGGUUGGUGUGUAGGACAGGCAAGCUAACUGCGCCACCCCAACCAGAAACAUUGCAUAAAGAAUAGUAAAAUACAUAUUUAUAGUAUAGCCUUCAACCGUCCACUUUUAAAAUGGUUGUGGUACGUGAGUAGCCUACGUGGCCGUAUGUCCACUCAUGCGACACAUUUUAGUUUCUAAUUCCAUCGCGGAAGUGUUUUAUAUUCUUCAAAAACAGGGCAAACCAACUAACCCUAGUCCACCUAAUGUAACCGGCGUCAUUAUACAAACACAUAGUACACGACAUGCCCUUUCAUUUGGGGGGGAGAAAAUGUUAUCUACUCGGUUAGGCUACAAUCGCUUUUCAUUGACGCUGGCUGGUUUGUAAAGGACAUUGGGUCUCCUGAAUGUGUCUAGUGAUUGCUCGACUACCCGUGGCGUGAUGUCACUCAUCCCAGCUUUGGUGGUUAUAUAACAGGACUGUAGGGAUCCCGGGUUGUGAUAGCGAGGUAUUUAUACUCUGUUUACAGUCAGGAAUUGCACAAUGCAUAGUAAGAUUGGCAUAGUAAAACCUGUCUUCCCAAGAGGAUAGGCUACAGACUGCUACAUGCCACCACCACUACACUGUUAUUACAUGCUUACAUUUGAUCCAGUAUCUACAAACGAAGGUGGUUGGUCAAAGAGUGUUUCAAUGUUGCCGAAAUAAAAAAACAUUAUGCUGUAAAAUGUUACAGUAACUUUGCAAUGAAGGACACUUGAUACUGCGAAAUUAUUUUUCAACAACAUGCAAGCCUGCAGUAAAACAAGAAUACACGUUGUCGUACUUUAGCGUACACCAGCUUGCUUAUGAGCAUAAUAAUGCAUAUUAAAAAAAACAUGUCUGGAGGCCGUUUUGCAAUGCAGUAACAUGACAAGAGGUGAAGUAUUUGUUGCACCUCUGUAUCCAAUAAAAAAAUGAAGAUUGGUUGGAUCACAAUUAUAAUCACAAUCUUGAUGAUCUUAUUUGUUGUGAAAUUGACUGAUAUUACUUGUUAGAUAUUACUUGACAGAUAUUACUUGUUAGAUAUUACUUGUUAGAUAUUACUUGACAGAUAUUACUUGUUAGAUAUUACUUGUUAGAUAUUACUUGACAGAUAUUACUUGAUAGAUAUUACUUGAUAGAUAUUACUUGACAGAUAUUACUUGUUAGAUAUUACUUGAUAGAUAUUACUUGAUAGAUACUGCUGCACUGUCGGAACUAGAAGCACAAGCAUUUCGCUACACUCGCAAUAACAUCUGCUAACCAUGUGUAUGUGACCAAUUUGAUUUGAUUUGAUUUUGAUGAUAAUAUAUCAUGUUUCAUCUCAAUACCUGAUAGGCCUAUGUGUUGUUUAUGUAUGCUAAUAUUUUUCAUUAUGUUGUUGCACAUACAGAGGCUUACCAUUGUUCAGUGUAUACAGUUCUCUGUACUCUGUACUGUGGAUGGCUGCUGCUAUGGAGUUGACAUUUAGACUAGGUUGUCAUUUCACCACAGAGCUUCUGUAUAUAACCUGUGUAUAUAACCUUGCCCAUUUAAACCUGUACUCUGCAGGCCACGGAACCACAUUGUUUAUUUAUGUACCUUGUCUUCUUGGUAGUGUAGUAUGAGGUGGGUAGGUUUGUGGCGGCUGAUUGACCAGUGAUAGUGUAGUAUGAGGUGGGUAGGUUUGUGGCGGCUGAUUGACCAGUGAUAGUGUAGUAUGAGGUGGGUAAGUUUGUGGCGGCUGAUUGACCAGUGAUAGUGUAGUAUGAGGUGGGUAAGUUUGUGGCGGCUGAUUGACCAGUGAUAGUGUAGUAUGAGGUGGGUAAGUUUGUGGCGGCUGACCAGUGAUAGUGUAGUUUGAGGUGGGUAGGUUUGUAGCGGCUGAUCAGUGAUAGUGUAGUUUGAGGUGGGUAGGUUUGUGGUGGCUGAUCAGUGAUAGUGUAGUAUGAGGUGGGUAGGUUUGUGGCAGCUGGCUGACCAAUGAUAGUGUAGUUUGAGGUGGGUAGGUUUGUGGCGGCUGAUCAGUGAUAGUGUAGUUUGAGGUGGGUAGGUUUGUGGCUGCUGUUUGACCAGUGAUAGUGUAGUUUGAGGUGGGUAGGUUUGGGGCGGCAGGCUGACCAGUGAUAGUGUAGUUUGAGUUGGGUGGGUUUGUGGUGGCUGGCUGGCUGACCAGUGAUAGUGUAGUUUGAGGAGGGUAGGUUUGUGGCGGCUGGCUGACCAGUGAUAGUGUAGUUUGAGGUGGGUAGGUUUGUGGCGGCUGACUGACCAGUGAUAGUGUAGUUUGAGUUGGGUAGGUUUGUGGCGGCUGACCAGUGACAGUGUAGUUUGAGGUGGGUAGGUUUGUGGCGGCUGAUUGACCAGUGAUAGUGUAGUUUGAAGUGGUUAGGUUUGUGGCUGCUGACUGACCAGUGAUAGUGUAGUAUGAGGUGGGUAGGUUUGCGACAGCUGACCAGUGAUAGUUUAGUAUGAGGUGGGUAGGUUUGUGGUGGCUGGCCAAUGAUAGUGUAGUUUGAGGUGGGUAGGUUUGUGGCGGCUGACUGACCAGUGAUAGUGUAGUUUGAGGUGGGUAGGUUUGUGGCGGCUGACCAGUGAUAGUGUAGUAUGAGGUGGGUAGGUUUGUUGCGGCUGACCAAUGAUAGUGUAGUUUGAGGUGGGUAGGUUUGUGGCGGCUGAUUGACCAGUGAUAGUGUAGUUUGAGGUGGGUAGGUUUGUGGCGGCUGACUGACCAGUGAUAGUGUAGUAUGAGGUGGGUAGGUUUGUGGCGGCUGAUUGACCAGUGAUAGUGUAGUAUGAGGUGGGUAGGUGUGUGGCGGCUGGCUGACCAGUGAUAGUGUAGUUUGAGGUGGGUAGGUUUGUGGCUGCUGACCAGUGAUAGUGUAGUUUGAGGUGGGUAGGUUUGUGGCGGCUGAUUGACCAGUGAUAGUGUAGUUUGAAGUGGGUAGGUUUGUGGCGGCUGGCUGACCAGUGAUAGUGUAGUUUGAGGUGGGUAGGUUUGUGGCGGCUGGCUGACCAGUGAUAGUGUAGUAUGAGGUAGGUAGGUUUGUGGCGGCUGAUUGACCAGUGAUAGUGUAGUUUGAAGUGGUUAGGUUUGUGGCGGCUGGCUGACCAGUGAUAGUGUAGUAUGAGAUGGGUAGGUUUGUGGCGGCUGACCAAUGAUAGUGUAGUAUGAGGUGGGUAGGUUUGUGGCGGCUGAUUGACCAGUGAUAGUGUAGUAUGAGGUGGGUAGGUGUGUGGCGGCUUGCUGACCAGUGAUAGUGUAGUUUGAGGUGGGUAGGUUUGUGGCGGCUGACUGACCAGUGAAGUGUAGUUUGAGGUGGGUAGGUGUGGGGCAGCUGGCUGACCAGUGAUAGUGUAGUAUGAGGUGGGUAGGUUUGUGGCGGCUGACCAAUGAUAGUGUAGUAUGAGGUGGGUAGGUUUGUGGCGGCUGAUUGACCAGUGAUAGUGUAGUAUGAGGUGGGUAGGUGUGUGGCGGCUUGCUGACCAGUGAUAGUGUAGUUUGAGGUGGAUAGGUUUGUUGCUGCUGACCAGUGAUAGUGUAGUUUGAGGUGGGUAGGUUUGUGGCGGCUGAUUGACCAGUGAUAGUGUAGUUUGAAGUGGGUAGGUUUGUGGCAGCUGACUGACCAGUGAUAGUGUAGUAUGAGGUGGGUAGGUUUGUGGCGGCUGACCAGAAAUAGUGUAGUAUGAGGUGGGUAGGUUUGUUGCGGCUGACCAAUGAUAGUGUAGUUUGAGGUGGGUAGGUUUGUGGCGGCUGACCAGUGAUAGUGUAGUAUGAGGUGGGUAGGUUUGUGGCGGCUGGCUGACCAGUGAUAGUGUAGUUUGAAGUGGGUAGGUUUGUGGCAGCUGACUGACCAGUGAUAGUGUAGUAUGAGGUGGGUAGGUUUGUGGCGGCUGACCAGAAAUAGUGUAGUAUGAGGUGGGUAGGUUUGUGGCGGCUGAUUGACCAGUGAUAGUGUAGAAUGAGGUGGGUAGGUGUGUGGCAGCUGUGCAACCAGUGAUAGUGUAGUUUGAGGUGGGUAGGUGUGUGGCGGCUUGGCAACCAGUGAUAGUGUAGUAUGAGAUGGGUAGGUUUGUGGCGGCUUACCAAUGAUAGUGUAGUAUGAGGUGGGUAGGUUUGUGGCGGCUUAUCAGUGAUAGUGUUAUAUGAGGUGGGUAGGUUUGUGGCGGCUGACUGACCAGUGAAGUGUAGUUUGAGGUGGGUAGGUGUGUGGCAGCUGGCUGACCAGUGAUAGUGUAGUAUGAGGUGGGUAGGUUUGUGGCGACUGACCAAUGAUAGUGUAGUAUGAGGUGGGUAGGUUUGUGGCGGCUGGCUGACCAGUGAUAGUGUAGUUUGAGGUGGGUAGGUUUGUGGCGGCUGGCUGACCAGUGAUAGUGUAGUUUGAGGUGGGUAGGUUUGUGGCGGCUGGCUGACCAGUGAUUGUGUAGUUUGGGGUGGGUAGGUUUGUGGCGGCUGGCUGAACAGUGAUAGUAUAGUUUGAGGUUGGUUGUUUUGUAGCGGCUGGCUGACCAGUUAUAGUGUAGUUUGAAGUGGGUGGGUUUGUGGCGGCUGACCAAUGAUAGUGUAGUAUGAGGUGGGUAGGUUUGUGGCAGCUGGCUGACGAGUGAUAGUGUAGUUUGAGGUGGGUAGGUUUGUGGCGGCUAACCAGUGAUAGUGUAGUAUGAGGUGGGUAGGUUUGUGGCGGCUGACCAAUGAUAGUGUAGUAUGAGGUGGGUAGGUUUGUGGCAGCUGGCUGACCAGUGAUAGUGUAGUUUGAGGUGGGUAGGUUUGUGGUGGCUGACCAGUGAUAGUGUAGUUUGAGGUGGGUAGAUUUGUGGCGGCUGACCAGUGAUAGUGUAGUUUGAGGUGGGUAAGUUUCUGGCGGCUGACUGACCAGUGAUAGUGUAGUAUGAGGUGGGUAGGUUUGUGGCGGCUGGCUGACCAUUGAUAGUGUAGUUUGAGGUGGGUAGGUUUGUGGCGGCUGACCAGUGAUAGUGUAGUUUGAGGUGGGUAGGUUUGUGGCGGCUGAUUGACCAGUGAUAGUGUAGUUUGAGGUGGGUGUGUUUGUGGAGGCUGACUGACCAGUGAUAGUGUAGUAUGAGGUGGGUAGGUUUGUGGCGGCUGACCAAUGAUAGUGUAGUAUGAGGUGGGUAGGUUUGUGGCAGCUGGCUGACCAGUGAUAGUGUAGUUUGAGGUGGGUAGGUUUGUGGCGGCUGACCAAUGAUAGUGUAGUUUGAGGUGGGUAGGUUUGUGGCGGCUGAUUGACCAGUGAUCGUGUAGUAUGAGGUGGGUAGGUUUGUGGCGGCUGACUGACCACAAAUAGUGUACUUUGUGGUGGGUAUGUUUGUGGCGGCUGACCAGUGAUAGUGUAGUUAGAGGUGGGUAGGUUUGUGCCCGCUGACCAGUGGUAGUGUAGUUUGAGGUGGGUAGGUUUGUGCCCGCUGACCAGUGAUAGUGUAGUUUGAGGUGAGUAGGUUUGUGGCGGCUGACCAAUGAUAGUGUAGUUUGAGGUGGAUAGGUUUGUGGCGGCUGAUUGACCAGUGAUAGUGUAGUAUGAGGUGGGUAGGUUUGUGGCGGCUGGCUGAACAGUGAUAGUAUAGUUUGAGGUUGGUUGUUUUGUAGCGGCUGGCUGACCAGUUAUAGUGUAGUUUAAGGUGGGUAGGUUUGUGGCGGCUGAUUGACCAGUGAUAGUGUAGUUUGAGGUGGGUAGGUUUGUGGCGGCUGAUUGACCAGUGAUAGUGUAGUUUGAGGUGGGUAGGUUUGUGGCGGCUGACUGAUCAGUGAUAGUGUAGUAUGAGGUGGGUAGGUUUGUGGCGGCUGACCAAUGAUAGUGUAGUAUGAGGUGGGUAGGUUUGUGGCAGCUGGCUGACCAGUGAAGUGUAGUUUGAGGUGGGUAGGUUUGUGGCAGCUGGCUGACCAGUGAUAGUGUAGUUUGAGGUGGGAAGGUUUGUGGCGGCUGACUGACCAGUGAUAGUGUAGUUUGAGGUGGGUAGGAUUGUGGUGGCUGACCAGUGAUAGUGUAGUUUGAGGUGGGUAGAUUUAUGGCGGCUGACCAGUGAUAGUGUAUUAUGAGGUGGGUAGGUUUGUGGCGGCUGAUUGACCAGUGAUAGUGUAGUAUGAGGUGGGUAGAUUUGUGGCGGCUGACCAAUGAUAGUGUAGUUUGAGGUGGGUAAGUUUGUGGCGGCUGACCAAUGAUAGUGUAGUUUGAGGUGGGUAGGUUUGUGGCGGCUGAUUGACCAGUGAUAGUGUAGUAUGAGGUGGGUAGAUUUGUGGCGGCUGACCAAUGAUAGUGUAGUUUGAGGUGGGUAGGUUUGUGGCGGCUGACCAGUGAUAGUGUAGUUUGAGGUGGGUAGGUUUGUGGCGGCUGAUUGACCAGUGAUAGUGUAGUUUGAGGUGGGUGUGUUUGUGGAGGCUGACUGACCAGUGAUAGUGUAGUAUGAAGUGGGUAGGUUUGUGGCGGCUGACCAAUGAUAGUGUAGUAUGAGGUGGGUAGCUUUGUGGCAGCUGGCUGACCAGUGAUAGUGUAGUUUGAGGUGGGUAGGUUUGUGGCGGCUGACCAAUGAUAGUGUAGUUUGAGGUGGGUAGGUUUGUGGCGGCUGAUUGACCAGUGAUAGUGUAGUAUGAGGUGGGUAGGUUUGUGGCGGCUGACUGACCACAAAUAGUGUACUUUGUGGUGGGUAUGUUUGUGGCGGCUGACCAGUGAUAGUGUAGUAUGAGGUGGGUAGGUUUGUGCCCGCUGACCAGUGGUAGUGUAGUUUGAGGUGGGUAGGUUUGUGCCCGCUGACCAGUGAUAGUGUAGUUUGAGGUGGGUAUGUUUGUGGCGGCUGACUAACCAGUGGUAGUGUAGUUUGAGGUGGGUAGUUUUCUGGCGGCUGACUGACCAGUGGUAGUGUAGUUUGAGGUGGGUAGGUUUGUGGCCGCUGGCUGACCAGUUAGUGUGGAGUGCUUCAGGGCACCACAGGUUUAAACUGCAUGGUCUCUACCAGUUCAGUUCACCUGAUGGUGGUGAAUCCCUCUAUAGCACAUAUUACCACUCUUCUAUUUUAGAUAUAAAAUUGAACCUUUAUUUAACUAGGCAAGUCAGUUAAGAACAAACUCUUAUUUACAAUGACGGCCUAACCCGGCCGAUGCUGGGACAAAUUGUGCGCCGCCGUAUGGGACUCCCAAUCACGACCUGUUGUGAUACAGCCUGGAAUCGAGCCAUGGUCUGUAGUGACACCUCUAGCACUGAGAGACAGUGCCUUAGACUGCUGCUCCACUCAGGAGAUAUGUGAAUGAUGCAGGCUAGGGGUACGUUCAUUCGUCCAAAUGUUUGAGAUGUUUUCAAAACCUAUUUUCAAUCUGAAUGGUAGAAGACAAAUAGUGCCAUGAUUAUUUCCUGACCAUGUCACCUGACCAGGGACAAACUCCUAGCCCCUAGCUAGUUAUUACCCAUUAACUACAAUUUGUGGCCAGAGUUUUUCCUGGUCAGAUGACAUGGUCAGCAGGAAAAACUCAGCAUCAUUAUUUCAGCAACCAUAACGUCUUCUCUAAAAACCUUUCAAAAUGUUUCUUCCAACGGGGAGCUAAUGAACGCGACCCUAUCCGUUGUGCAGGGAUCUAAUCAUGUGACGGGGAAUUAGGGGGCUGCCAUUUCUCCCUGCACUUCCCUUUGAUCCUGUCCGCCACACACACACACACACACACACACACACACACACACACACACACACACACACACACACACACACACGUAUGCACAGCAUCUCCAACUCACACAUUUAUGCUACCGUGCAUGUGUGCAAAAUGAAGAAAAACGUGAUACACCUUGCCUUUAAAGUGAGGGCUGGGUUUUGAAGUGCCCGGUCUUGCCCUGACUUCCGGAGAUAUUUCCAGGUAUUGUCUGGGUAGGCUAGUCUUUCAUGGUUGACUGAGAGAGUGAUAUAAGAUGAGCCACACCCCUAUACCUGCAGAAAGAAACAGGCUGUGUGUGUGUGUGUGUGUGUGUGUGUGUGUGUGUGUGUGUGUGUGUGUGUGUGUGUGUGUGUGUGUGUGUGUGUGUGUGUGUGCGUGUGUGUCUGUGAGUGUGUGUGUGUGUGUGUGUGUGUGUGUGUGUGUGAAUGUGAUUCUACUCUGAGCAAAACAAGGGGACGAACCCAGUCAAUGACCAAUGAUUGGCAGUCUCUUCAAAAUAUGUGUGUGUACAUGUGUGUUUACAUAGAAGAUGGGCAGUACCCACACACACUGCUUGGCUUCCACUUUCACUUGCAGCUAGAGCAGGGUCCAAGGGUAGAUAGACAGUAGGGCUAGUUAGACCUCACGACAUGAUAUUAUCAGCAUACUUAGGUGCCGAUUCUAUAUGUACUGCGAUUCUCACUAUUCUCCUGAUUCUAUAUGUACU